AAUGGGGGCAACCCUGAUCCAGCCAUGCCGCGUGUGUGAAGAAGGCCUUCGGGUUGUAAAGCACUUUCAGUAGGGAGGAAGGCUUAUCCUUAAUACGGGUGAGUACUUGACGUUACCUACAGAAGAAGCACCGGCUAAUUUCGUGCCAGCAGCCGCGGUAAUACGAAAGGUGCGAGCGUUAAUCGGAAUUACUGGGCGUAAAGCGCGCGUAGGCGGUUUGCUAAGUCAGAUGUGAAAGCCCCGGGCUCAACCUGGGAACUGCAUUUGAAACUGGCAGGCUAGAAUGCAGUAGAGGGAGGUGGAAUUUCCGGUGUAGCGGUGAAAUGCGUAGAGAUCGGAAGGAACACCAGUGGCGAAGGCGGCCUCCUGGACUGACAUUGACGCUGAGGUGCGAAAGCGUGGGGAGCAAACAGGAUU
RNAcentral lists this ribosomal RNA (417 nucleotides) under uncultured Gammaproteobacteria bacterium. Its description in RNAcentral is "bacterial SSU rRNA". It matches the Rfam family "Bacterial small subunit ribosomal RNA", at positions 370 to 779 of the family's 1533-position model. The record is from RNAcentral. Lineage: Bacteria; Pseudomonadati; Pseudomonadota; Gammaproteobacteria.